RNAcentral lists this long non-coding RNA (960 nucleotides) under Mus musculus (house mouse). Its description in RNAcentral is "long non-coding RNA chr18:76295970-76296930". The record is from RNAcentral. Lineage: Eukaryota; Metazoa; Chordata; Mammalia; Rodentia; Muridae.
AAAAUGUUAGCUUGGGUGCCUACAGCAGCUUGGUUCAUAAUUUUAAACAUUUGAACACGGUCCAUCCAGACAAUGUCAGAAAUGACAAGAUGUGGUGGCACUUUGGGUAUAAACUAAAUGAAUAGCCGUGAUCUGUAAAGGCCAUGGGUGUGCUGCGCAAGCCCAGCGGUCUCACACUGUGAAAAUGCAAACCUUCUGAGGAUAGUAAAGACUUGUCGGGUUAUAGAGAAAGAAGCCUGGAGUAGGUAAAGCCCAUACAUUGAUAGUGCAGUGAGGCUGGUCUGUGUGAGAGCAAAAAUGGGGGAAAUGUAUUAUGUGUUUGUCAAAAAAACUUACAGAAAAUAAACACAAGAGUAAGCCUUCUUGGAAACUUUGGACUCUUGAUAACAAUACGUGAGGGUAGGUUUAGCAAAUGUAAUGUAUCUACCCUUGGGGCAGGGAAACGUGGACGGAGAGUCAGGGAUAUGAGACUUCUCUGUACCCGAUAAUCAUGCUGUGCCCCUAAAAAAUUCUGAAAAAGAAAUAGAACUUUGUGUUUUCUAUUUGCAGUUAAGUUUAGUGAGUCUUUAAGACUCACUAAAGAAGAUCCCAAAUUGGGGAAAGUGUUUGCAUUUGAUUUCUAGAAACUUGUUUAGAUUCUAAAAUGUGUAAGUCAAAAGUGAGAGAAAAAACAAUAAUUAAUAUUAAAAAGUGGAUAAAAAUUGGACUGGAGAGAUGGCUCAGCAGUUAAGUGCACUGACUGUUCUUUCAGAGGUCCUGAGUUCAAUUCCCGGCACCCACAUGGUGGCUCACAACCAUCUCUAAUGGAAUCUGAUGCCUUCUUCUGGUGUGGACUCACAUAUAAAAUAAAUAAAUCUUUAAAAAUCUUAAAAAUGUACUACUUAUAAACAAAAGCAAUUAUAAAAGAGUUGCUGUUCUAAGGCUAUUAAUUUGGCAAAUGUCACCACACAGUGAUACUGC